Molecule: ribosomal RNA, 253 nt
Filed under: uncultured bacterium
Lineage: Bacteria
Description: partial 16S ribosomal RNA
Rfam family: Bacterial small subunit ribosomal RNA
Source: RNAcentral
UACGGAGGGUGCAAACGUUGCUCGGAAUCAUUGGGCGUAAAGCGCACGUAGGCGGCCUGUUAAGUCGGAUGUGAAAGCCCAAGGCUCAACCUUGGAAGUGCAUUCGAAACUGGCGGGCUUGAAUAUGGACGAGGGUCACGGAAUUCCCGGAGUAGAGGUGAAAUUCGUAGAUAUCGGGAGGAACACCAGUGGCGAAGGCGGUGACCUGGGCCAAUAUUGACGCUAAGGUGCGAAAGCGUGGGGAGCAAACAGG